CGAAACUCAGGCAGCAAAUCCUCACCUGGAAGCAAUGAUGCUAACUUAAACAAUGCUUUUAAAUGAACCUUGGAUCUGGUCAGCAACAUUGAUUUGGUUUUGACUGAUCAAAAAAACCUUUGACUGACUCAAAAAACCUUCCAUCUUCUCGGUAUUUUCCACUUUCACUGUCUACACUGUCCUGCCCUGCAUAAAUCUUAUUUAAAAGCUAAUUUCAACACAGCAUGUGCACUUAGUGUACACUGAUCAGUGAUGAGUCAUGUUCAGCUUGAUAAGGAAAUGAAUGAAAGCCCUUACAAUUUAAAAAGACUCAGUGUUCCCAUGGCUAGACCACACAGGAAAGCUGUGUUGGAAAGCUCUAAUUUCCAAUUUCCAAGUCCCUCUAUUGUUUCUGUCAGGUGGACCUGUUUUCCUUGCAAAACGUCAAGCAAUUUUCCUAUAUUUCAGCAAUAUGCUCUGCAGACACUGGAGUUUUUCAGUUCCCUAUUCAGGUCAAAGAGAUUUCAUAAGGUCUGUAGCUAGUGUACACAAGUCUGAAAAGGAAUAAUCAGUUAUCUCAGCAUCUCAGGAAUAGGCAAGGCUCUGUCAAGACUCUUCCUCUGUGUUACAAGUACCCAUGUGCUCUUGUAAGACCUUGUGCCAGAGUACGCUGUAACUUGCAAGAAGACAUUAAACUGGAAAAUAAAAUGUCGUCCCACUUCCAGUGCUGAAGAAGCAGCUUUCAGAUUCCAAGCUGCAGAUGGUGGUCCUGUGCAACUGGUGACAACGAAUACCAGCAGACUUCUGAAUCAGAUGUGCCAUCCUGCCACUCCUGGGGCUCCACAGAAACUGGGCUGAAUGCAAAAACUCCCACAGAACUCGGUCUUUCAGGCUGGCCAUAUGAGAUCCUGUGGGCAUCCACCAUGACUGCAGUCAAGAACACUACGCAAGUCAAGAACAAAGAGCUGGAAAUAGCAGCCCUCCGUAUCCGCAGCACGGAGGAAGGGGCGCUGUGCCCGGGCACAGCGCAGCCGUGGCACCCGUGGGUUCGGUCCCUCGCUGCUUGCGCUGCCAGCAGAGCCUCGGAUCCCCCUCAGCCUGUCUGGGCUCGGUGCGUAUUGGAAUUUCAUCUCCCCAGUCUGCUCCUGCAGACUUUUUUUUUUUUUAAUUCAUGUGGAAAAAAAAUAAUAAUGAGAGGGUAAAAUAAGCGGAGCGAGAGCGAGCAUCAAUAGCCCCAGCCCGUAGGCUCAGCGCCUUCCUGCAGAGCUCCCGCAGCAGGGCCCCGCUCAGCCCCGGCGCUGCCGCAGGGCCCCGGGCAGGGGCAGCACCCAGGGGUGCUGGGCGGGGGCUGAGCCCCGCUCCCUGCCCCGAGCCUUAGGGCCACGGCCGGGGGCGCUGGCACAGCCCCG
This 1388-nucleotide long non-coding RNA is filed under the name Anas platyrhynchos (mallard). Its description in RNAcentral is "lncRNA (ENSAPLG00020018252.1)". Lineage: Eukaryota; Metazoa; Chordata; Aves; Anseriformes; Anatidae. The record is from RNAcentral.